UGUUCGCUAUUAUUUUCACCACGCCGCAAGUAUACGGUGUAGUUGCAACAUAGGGAAGCAAGGUCGUAUUCCACAAGGAUUGGUGAAUUCAAACUUCUAAAUACUAUUAAUAGUUGUUUUCAAUCUAUUUAGACAACCAAAGGUGAAGAGAUAUUGAAGGUUAAAUCAAAGUUAAAUUAAAGCAAGCAAACUAAAUAACAAUAAUAUAAACUUAAUUAAUAAAUUGGGGAAUGACUCGAAGGAAAGUU
RNAcentral lists this long non-coding RNA (248 nucleotides) under Salvia miltiorrhiza (redroot sage). RNAcentral describes it as "long non-coding RNA (SMIL_LNC011094)". Lineage: Eukaryota; Viridiplantae; Streptophyta; Magnoliopsida; Lamiales; Lamiaceae. The record is from RNAcentral.